RNAcentral lists this transfer RNA (74 nucleotides) under Enterococcus faecalis. RNAcentral describes it as "tRNA-Pro". It matches the Rfam family "tRNA". Rfam says of the family: Transfer RNA (tRNA) molecules are approximately 80 nucleotides in length. Their secondary structure includes four short double-helical elements and three loops (D, anti-codon, and T loops). Further hydrogen bonds mediate the characteristic L-shaped molecular structure. tRNAs have two regions of fundamental functional importance: the anti-codon, which is responsible for specific mRNA codon recognition, and the 3' end, to which the tRNAs corresponding amino acid is attached (by aminoacyl-tRNA synthetases). tRNAs cope with the degeneracy of the genetic code in two manners: having more than one tRNA (with a specific anti-codon) for a particular amino acid; and 'wobble' base-pairing, i.e. permitting non-standard base-pairing at the 3rd anti-codon position. RNAcentral also lists the same sequence under 20 other names. The record is from RNAcentral. Lineage: Bacteria; Bacillati; Bacillota; Bacilli; Lactobacillales; Enterococcaceae.
CGGGAAAUGGCUCAGCUUGGUAGAGCACCUGGUUUGGGACCAGGGGGUCGCAGGUUCGAAUCCUGUUUUCCCGA